UCUUCACUGAUUUUCACCGACAAGAACAGUACUAGCAGAGAUCUAAUCGGAAGUUAUCUCAGAACCUAACCAAAACAGGAAUUCGUUUAAAGAAGCCGUAAACAACAAUAUCUGGAACUGAGAGAACCACCAGCCACAACUUCUUAGUCUUCAGUGCUAGACCUUCUACAACAGGAGAGCAUCAAUCGAACUAAGACGAAAGCAAAUCCAAGAAGCGAAACCACCAGAGACGCCAGAAAACUAAGCAAAAUGGUCUCUCAUAGAUCAACGAUUACAACAAUCGCAGACAAUUUAACGGAUUUGGUUAUCCGGCAUCAGACACAAUCAUCUUUUAAGAUAAGAAGGAAACCUAAGAUUAUAAAAACCUACCAAGAGAAGGAUGAACCAACAAAUCCAAAACCGAAAGAAAAUUGAAACUGAAGAGAGAUAAAAAAGUAGAGCCAGCCGGCUUCACCAAAAGGAAAAAGAGGUUGCCAUAGACAAACGUGCAUGUUAGGAAUUUAUCGAUUUUUGAUUGCUUAACGACACAAGAUUUUUAACCCAGUUCCCUUGCGGUACCUCUGGGGUGGGAACCGUCUCCCACAACAUCCACUAUCAAUCAAAGGGUUUACACAAACGCUCUAAGCGCUCAAUAGAAAGACACAACAAAGAAUUAGAGAGAUCAAAGAAACUCUAUCCCGAAGCGACAUGACUCGAACAAUGUCUCUUGCCCUUAGUUUCUUUUUUACCUGAUCUCUCUCUAGCUCUCUCUCCCUUUUGGUCUUGUGUUUCAGAUGAUUAGAAUGCCUUGACCACGUCUCCUAUUUAUAACACCAGCCACCGUCCCUAGCUUUCCUUUUUCCAUAAUGUUUUAACAUUUUAGUUAACCGACAUAUGAAGUAAAGGAAACUAUCUAACGUUUUCCCGUUUUGUGCAGGUCUUCAAACGAACAGGAAACUUUGUGUGGACCAGAAAUUGGGCCUUUUCUUACAAUCUCCACCUAAGGCCCAUAUUGCUGUCCACACCAUAUGGCCCAACUGCUUUUACCUUGCCGUUGGAAACGUCGACGAACCUUGGAGCGUUUCUUCUCCGUCUUUGAGUUACUCCAUAGACCACUCCACCUGAAGAUCCUCAGUCACCAUCAAUCACCAUCGUCAUGCUCCUUGUCCUCCUCGAAGCCGUGAUGAAUUCUAUCAGCGAAUCCCCUUCGCCAUAGCUCCGUGUAGCCCGUACACCGCUACUUCUUCUUCAACCUUUUCCGGCUUCGAUUCAUAUUUGCUCGAGAUCGACUUAACUUUCCAAUCCUCAGCUCUCUCAUUCAAUCACAUCAACUACUCUUCCAUGUUGAUGGAUGAACUGUGUCAAUCUUGCUGGAUUAUUAUAUUACUCCGCUGAGAUACUCUGUCUCCCUUCAGCUUCCAUAGCUGUUUAAGACGUUCUCUUCUCAGGAUGCUCCACCUCGAACUGAAAACAAUUUGGUCUCCUCUUGUUGUUCAACGGAGAUGCCUUAAAGGCAAUCUGUUUUUGCAUCCCCACCUGCAACUGAUAUCACCUUCUCUCUCCCUUUGAUGCUUCCUUUGAUAGUGAAGUUUUAAUGCAAUUCUGAAAGAAUCCUUGCAUCUUCUGGCAUUCUUCUCCAAUACCACCGACCCUUUGUAGUCUCAGGUAUACUUUUAAGUUCUUCUUCAUCUUUACAAUGAUGAAUUUAGCUUGCCCC
Long non-coding RNA from Raphanus sativus (radish), 1696 nucleotides. RefSeq lists it as uncharacterized. NCBI's taxonomy places the organism in Eukaryota, Viridiplantae, Streptophyta, Magnoliopsida, Brassicales, Brassicaceae. The record is from RefSeq and is a predicted model, not a curated record. The transcript is spliced from 3 exons.